Long non-coding RNA from Leopardus geoffroyi (Geoffroy's cat), 2343 nucleotides. RefSeq lists it as uncharacterized. The record is from RefSeq and is a predicted model, not a curated record. The transcript has 7 exons. NCBI's taxonomy places the organism in Eukaryota, Metazoa, Chordata, Mammalia, Carnivora, Felidae.
GCUUUGAUGGACAUGCGUGUCACCAGCCAUGUCAGCCUUGAACUUGUUUCCAAGGAUCUAUGUUGCUUCCUAAAUAUACUGAAUUCUCCAUUUAUAAAUACUCUCAAGUGGGACAUCUUCAUGGACAGACCUCAUUUCGUCUCACACAAGCUGCUGCCUCUACUUGAAGCCUCUCGCCCCUUUAUUUGGAUGGUAGGUUGGCAGAGAGGAAGAGAAAGUCCAGCAUGAAAACGUAGAGCCUGGAGUGGGAGAGUCACACGGCCCUGCUGACAACUUCGGAUUCUGACACUUUCCUUUGGUGAAUAGAAUGGUUUAUUUUUCGAAAAUCACAGCACAAAGAGGGACUCUGGAAAGCAGAUGUAUCCAUGUUGCCGUUAGGUAUCCAGAAGGAGAAAGCACAGGAACUGCCCAAGGAGGCCUCUUCUCUUCUUUGUGCCAUAAUAUCACCAACACUCCUUCCAGAGGAAAGAACCCCAUGCCCAGCAGGAGAAUGAGGUCUUUGUUCAGUCCAGUAAGGGACAUUUACUGAGUGGCCUUUCUGUAGCAUGCAUUUGGUGACGAACAAUUCACGUAUAGGAUGCUGGAAGGUGUACGUUUCUCGAUCUUGAACAAGGGAGAAAGGCUGGACUUCCAUUCAGCAGACAUUGUCAGGUGCUUGGGUGCCCCUCUACCAGGGGAGAGGGGAACACGGUAUGUUCCUUGUUCCUUGUUACCAGUCCACUGUAGAGGCAGACAUACUUUAAGUUCUUAAAAAUUCACAGAGCCAACAGCCUGCAGGCCCCUCAGUCUUUGGAUACCAUCAACGAUACAUAACAUGGCAGCCAGUUCCACUGCGCCUGUAGGAAGCACUCAACCAGACUGGGGGAGAGCCCGAGGAGACCGGUCCCGAGAGAAGAGAGCUGAGUGGCAAGGGCCACCCUGUUCUGAGCCCCACACUGUGGUCUCAGCAAAGAUGGACUCAGCAGAUAGCUCUGUGAGGGUCCCCACCUCCCGUUUCCUCUGAGAAGCAGCCAGCCUUACGAACCAACACGUACCCUGUCCCCGCACACCUACCACGCACACUCUUGGGAAUGGCAAGGAGGCAACAGACAGAGACCAACUCAGUUGACCAGACUGAAUUUCCCAGGUACCAGGGCCAUGAGGCAGACAGAGGCUUGGUGGUCAGGAGCAGCAGGGGCAGUACGAGAAGUGGGGACCAGGGACAGGCUGGGACUGCGGAGAUCUGGGAGAUGCCGGCGGCAGAUGCAGGGGAGAGCAGGUUGUGGGGACGGUGGCCUUCCAACCAGCGCCAGUGUGGACAGAGGCCAACUGACGAGAUGCCUUCUUCUCAUGGAUACUGGAUGCACUGAGAUGAUCCCUGCCGCCACCGCAGAAGAAAGAAGGCGUCCCUAAACUACAGCAAAGGCCAAUUUAUCUGAGUCUACCAUGAACUCAGAUGAACUUCACACCACAAGGGAGCCGUGCCCUGGAGCUCGGCAGUCACCUCUGCGACCGUGAUGAUGUCUCCCUGUUUCAGUUGCUCGACAGGAUACCGUGGGAUGUGGAGGAAGGCACAACAUAGCCCAGGAUGGAUGAAGCCGACCGCUGCAAGAUGGUCACAAGUUCGGAUCCUGUCCCUGCAUCCUCCACUCUGCAUUCCGUGAGGGCCGACAAGGCUGCAGGACACGUGUCAGGCCCAGGCCCUGCCACUGGGUGGUCCCAUUUCUCCUGAGACUCCCUAACAUCCCUUCCCUCCUCCCAGCUGGCAGGACCCAACCAUGACCCCUCACACUCUGAGGUGUGGAAACCCUCCUCCAUUCUUAGGGGGCCAGAAUUCGCUACAAGGGAGUCUUUUUUAAGAGUGAACAUUUAUUCAGUCAACAAACAUGGGCUGUCUGCCAGGGCUGGACACGGCUGGUCGUCAGGACACACAGAACACGUGAUCAGUCAAUGUGAAACAUCAUGACGUCAGCCUGCGCCUGGUAUUCCCAGAUGUUCUUGACUAAGUGACAAUUUACACAGUGUUUCAUUAGAUGCCUAUUAAGAAGAGAAGCACAGCUGAUGCCAUAAACCAAAGCCACCCCCAGAAUGGGAGGGCUGAUUAAGCAGAGGCCGUGGAAACAGGUCCAAGUUGCCGGGCAGGUCCUGGAGCUGUGCCCAGGCAGCGGGUAUGGCUCUCGGCAGUGCACUCGACGGCCAGAAAGCCUCGCUAGGGUCCAGAACCUCACUUCCACCCUGCUCCCUUCUCUUCCGUUCCUAAAGAACGAACCCAGCAAUGACGGAGUGUGGAGUGUGAGCCCCAGGCAGGGAGGGAUGGGGGGGAACCCUAAAGUCCCCUGCAUAGAGAAGCCUCGAGCAGGCAGG